UGCGUUGGAGGUGCAAAGUCAGCAAC
RNAcentral lists this non-coding RNA (26 nucleotides) under Homo sapiens (human). The record is from RNAcentral. Lineage: Eukaryota; Metazoa; Chordata; Mammalia; Primates; Hominidae.